AGCGCGCGCAGGCGGCCUUUUAAGUUGGAUGUGAAAGCCUAUGGCUCAACCAUAGAACUGCAUCCAAAACUAUCAGGCUAGAGUGUGGGAGAGGAAGAUGGAAUUAGUUGUGUAGGGGUAAAAUCCGUAGAGAUAACUAGGAAUACCAAAAGCGAAGGCAAUCUUCUGGAACAUUACUGACGCUGAGGCGCGAAAGCGUGGGGAGCAAACAGGAUUAGAUACCCUGGUAGUCCACGCCCUAAACGAUGAAUGUUAGUCGUCGGGUAGCUAGUCUAUUCGGUGAUGCAGCUAACGCAUUAAACAUUCCGCCUGGGGAGUACGGUCGCAAGAUUAAAACUCAAAGGAAUAGACGGGGACCCGCACAAGUGGUGGAGCAUGUGGUUUAAUUCGAAGAUACGCGAAGAACCUUACCUAGCCUUGACAUAUUUUAGAACACUUUAGAGAUAGAGUGGUGCCUUCGGGAGCUAAUAUACAGGUGCUGCACGGCUGUCGUCAGCUCGUGUCGUGAGAUGUUGGGUUAAGUCCCGCAACGAGCGCAACCCUCGUCACUAGUUACUAACGGUUCGGCCGAGGACUCUAGUGAGACUGCCUUCGCAAGGAGGAGGAAGGUGAGGACGACGUCAAGUCAUCAUGGCCCUUACGGCUAGGGCAACACACGUGCUACAAUGGCCAGGACAAUGAGAAGCGAUACCGCGAGGUGGAGCAAAUCUAU
Molecule: ribosomal RNA, 712 nt
Filed under: uncultured bacterium
Lineage: Bacteria
Description: bacterial SSU rRNA
Rfam family: Bacterial small subunit ribosomal RNA
Source: RNAcentral